GGAGGAGAAAAAGGAGGAGAAAGAAGAGGAGGAGGAAGCGGAGAAGGAAAAAAGAAAAAAGAAAAUCAUUAACAGCCUCCCCGAUAAAAAGCAGAAUAUUUUUAUGAAGCAGUGAAGUAACAGACAGGAAGGCAAGACAAAAAAUCAGAAAAAAAUUAACAGCUGAAUUAUGAUGAGAUCAAGGCGUUGCUACAGAAAAUAUCUCACCCAAAUAUGCAGCCAUAAAUUGGGAGCCAGGGAGGCCCAAGUCCAUUGGCAUAGGAUGAUACAACAUUGGGAUAUGAAGAGGUAUAGUAUUUGGUGAAGAGACAUGAAAGAUUAGUGGAACUUCUUGGACUAUCACUAAACUAUGCAGAUAAAACAUAUUUCACAUUUAAAAUAAAAAUCUGUGA
Molecule: long non-coding RNA, 392 nt
Organism: Mesocricetus auratus (golden hamster)
Lineage: Eukaryota; Metazoa; Chordata; Mammalia; Rodentia; Cricetidae
Exons: 3
Source: RefSeq, a predicted model, not a curated record